This 253-nucleotide ribosomal RNA is filed under the name uncultured bacterium. RNAcentral's name for it is "partial 16S ribosomal RNA". It matches the Rfam family "Bacterial small subunit ribosomal RNA", at positions 524 to 776 of the family's 1533-position model. The record is from RNAcentral.
UACGUAGGGUGCGAGCGUUAAUCGGAAUUACUGGGCGUAAAGCGUGCGCAGGCGGUGAUGUAAGACAGUUGUGAAAUCCCCGGGCUCAACCUGGGAGCUGCAUCUGUGACUGCAUCGCUGGAGUGCGGCAGAGGGGGAUGGAAUUCCGCGUGUAGCAGUGAAAUGCGUAGAUAUGCGGAGGAACACCGAUGGCGAAGGCAAUCCCCUGGGCCUGCACUGACGCUCAUGCACGAAAGCGUGGGGAGCAAACAGG